Long non-coding RNA from Bos taurus (domestic cattle), 857 nucleotides. The record is from Ensembl. Lineage: Eukaryota; Metazoa; Chordata; Mammalia; Artiodactyla; Bovidae.
GGAUUGUAGAAAGUCUUGGAUGUCAGGCAGAAGAGUUUAAUUUCCCUGAGAUGGAAAAACUGGGAGUAAAAAUCAAACCGCCAGCUGAGCAAAAUCCACUCUGAGUUGCAGAAAGGGAAUGGGUUCUGGUGGAUAUUCCCUCUCUGCCUCUUAAUUCUAAGAUUCUUUCCAGCAAGGGCAAGCUUUCAGAGGAAUCUGGGAAACUUGUGUCUUUCAUCUCACCCAACCCUCUAAUACAAAUCUUUUCAAUCUCUGAUAUAAAUUUGCCUCUUCCUUUUGAAAUCAGCCAGAAAGUUCCCAGGGAACCUGAAAGCCACUUUACAAUUUAAAGCAAUCCUUACUUCUAACGCUAGAAGCCCAUCUGGGUCUGUCUGUAACCCUAAAUUCUGAACAUAUAUUGGUCUGGAAAUUCCCCGUAACUCAGGAAGCAUUUUACCUACCCCGAGUAUGAAUGUUUUGCUCCCAAUUCUCCUGGUGAAAAGAGGUGUGAACUGUGAUCCUAUAGAAAACCAUUGUGAAGAUAGGAGGGCACAGGCGGUAUGGUAUGUACCUAAGAAGCUUGGUGUCAAAAUGAUUAAAGCAUGAAGAGAAAAACAGAACCAAAGGAGAGAGAAGGAAAUCAUUUACCUUGUAUUUGGAGCAAGGACACUUGCAAUUCCAUUUCAGCUGACUUUCUCCUCUUUCCCAGUCAGUUUCAUGGGCUUCAUGACACAUUUUGCUCAAAAUGAGCCGUCUCAUCGGACUCUUGCAUGUGAAAUUUAAGGCUGACCUAGCUGCUAUUGUUUUUCAACCAUCAACACAAAGCUGUACUGCUUGAUUUCUCUCAUCUGCCAGAUUUUAUUAAUUUUACUUUAUCC